Molecule: non-coding RNA, 1018 nt
Organism: Biomphalaria pfeifferi
Lineage: Eukaryota; Metazoa; Mollusca; Gastropoda; Planorbidae
Source: the annotation of a GenBank genome assembly
GUUCUCCCCCCCCCCCCCCCUAAGUGUUAGGUCAUCGGUCAAAUUAGUAUUCCUUAAAUUCCAUAUCUAAAUCUAGAUCAAUAUAGUUUAAAAACAAAAACAACUUUUUUUACUUCAAUUUUAUUAGCUAACAGAUGCUGUUUUUAGACACCUAUUAAUGAUAAUUAUUGCUUUCAUAUUGCGCUUCUUUCCUGCUUAUAGCAUGCUCAAAUCGCUAUAGUCGAAUCUCAUCUGUGGACCAGUGGGGGGAAGGGGAUAUCUGGAGAAGUUUUUCCGUGCUGCCUAUAGGUACUCAGUAAACACAACUCUUCCCGAGGACGGGUGUCGAACCUCGAUCCCCCUUCAUAGGUGGCAAAGCCAAGCCAAGUUCAAGCGUACUUAGCCUCUCGACCACGCUUCCCUACUGACUUAACGAAGUAAGGUAUUUUACUGUUUACAUGUGCAAUUAAACUUUAAAAAAAAUUAAAUAUCUAAUUGACAAGAAGCCCUACCUGGGGACUUAUGACAAUCCCAACAAAAAAUACUUAAUUAAUUAACAUGUUGCGCUCAAAUGCAAUCAUAAAGCAAUACAGAAAUGAAAGUAUAUAUAUAUAUAAAGAGAGAGAGAGUCAAUUGCUCAAAAAACAUUUAGGCAACUAAUUGAGAAAAACAUUCCCUUAUAUCUGGAUCAUUAAAUACAAAUCAAUUAUCUAAUAUAUACACAUUUCACAUGUUACUUUUGAACGAGUCUGGUGUCAAUGUAUAUUAUGUUUUCUAUAAUUAUAAUGUUUUGUUUAGUGUAAUUUACACAUUGUAAGACAAAUUUCCUUAUGGAUAAUAAAGAUGAUUAUUAUGAUUGUUGUGAUUAUUAUUAUUAUGAUGAUAAUUAUGAUAUUAUUAGAAAAACAAAGCGGAUUUUUCUUCAGAAUAGAAGUCUAUUACAUUCUAAUCCUAACUUUCAGCAGUACAGUAUUCAAACCCAGGACCGAUGAGGCGACAGUCUAGAGCGCAUACCACACGAAAAUGGCCGCGAUGCAUG